Molecule: ribosomal RNA, 576 nt
Filed under: Triticum aestivum (bread wheat)
Lineage: Eukaryota; Viridiplantae; Streptophyta; Magnoliopsida; Poales; Poaceae
Description: partial small subunit ribosomal RNA
Source: RNAcentral
AUGGCCGCCGCUCGCUCCCUGCAGUCGCCCCUCGCCCAGCUCUUCCCGCGUGCCGUGCCCGACCCUCAUGGCCCGUCUCCAGUCACGCCGCCGGUUCCUUGGUCGUCGACGGAGGCCGGCAAGAUUAACUACAACGGCGCCAAGUUCCACAACCGACGACCGUUUUGGGAUUUCACUAGGUAUCGCGGACCCGUCGAGUACAACCACACCACGUUGAUACGGGAACCACUACCGUUGACCUCCGAAGAACAUGGUUUUACCGAGUACCCCUUCAUUUUGUCAAGAUUGUCAAGUCCCUCGACGACAAGUGCACGACUACGCGGAUUGUACCAAGUACCUCUUCGUUUCAGUGAGACCGGCAAGUCUGAAGACCCCAAGUACCAUGAUAACCCCGAAGGGAUUCAAAUCCGUCAAGUUCCUCUACCGAUGACUCGAACGGCUAUGAAACGUGUACCACUAUUGUCGACCCGCGAAGACCCCAUGGACGUCAAGUUCCGUGUCAUGGCCCCGAAAAUCUACGGACAUGAACGACUACUUCCUCUUCGACUCGAGAACCACUACUUCCGUUACCAUUGA